UUGAAAUCUGGCACCUUCGGUGUCCGAGUUGUAAUUUGAAGAAGGUAACUUUGGAGUCAGCUCUUGUCUAUGUUCCUUGGAACAGGACGUCACAGAGGGUGAGAAUCCCGUGCGAUGAGAUGUCUGAUUCUAUGUAAAGUGCUUUCGAAGAGUCGAGUUGUUUGGGAAUGCAGCUCUAAGUGGGUGGUAAAUUCCAUCUAAAGCUAAAUAUUGGCGAGAGACCGAUAGCGAACAAGUACAGUGAUGGAAAGAUGAAAAGAACUUUGAAAAGAGAGUGAAAAAGUACGUGAAAUUGUUGAAAGGGAAGGGUUUGAGAUCAGACUUGGUAUUUUGUAUGUCUUGCUUUCGGGUGGGGCCUCUACAGUUUACUGGGCCAGCAUCGGUUUGGACGGUAGGAUAAUGACAUUGGAAUGUGGCACCACUUCGGUGGUGUGUUAUAGACUUUGUUGAUACUGCCUGUCUAGACCGAGGACUGCGUCUUUGACUAGGAUGCUGGCAUAAUGAUCUUAAACCGCCC
Molecule: ribosomal RNA, 517 nt
Filed under: Scheffersomyces stipitis
Lineage: Eukaryota; Fungi; Ascomycota; Pichiomycetes; Serinales; Debaryomycetaceae
Description: eukaryotic LSU rRNA
Rfam family: Eukaryotic large subunit ribosomal RNA
Source: RNAcentral